RNAcentral lists this ribosomal RNA (333 nucleotides) under uncultured bacterium. RNAcentral describes it as "bacterial SSU rRNA". It matches the Rfam family "Bacterial small subunit ribosomal RNA", at positions 568 to 898 of the family's 1533-position model. The record is from RNAcentral.
CGUGUAGGCGGUUGGUUAAGUCGGAUGUGAAAGCCUGGGGCUCAGCCCCAGAAGUGCAUCCGAAACUAUCCGGCUAGAGCGCGAUAGAGGAGGGUGGAAUUCCUGGUGUAGCGGUGAAAUGCGUAGAUAUCAGGAGGAACACCGGCGGCGAAGGCGGCCCUCUGGAUCGUUGCUGACGCUGAGACGCGAAAGCGUGGGGAGCAAACAGGAUUAGAUACCCUGGUAGUCCACGCCUUAAACGAUGGGUACUAGGUGUUCGGGGUGUUGACCCCCUGAGUGCCGCAGUUAACGCAUUAAGUACCCCCGCCUGGGGACUACGGCCGCAAGGUUAAA